RNAcentral lists this ribosomal RNA (1818 nucleotides) under Triticum aestivum (bread wheat). Its description in RNAcentral is "partial small subunit ribosomal RNA". The record is from RNAcentral. Lineage: Eukaryota; Viridiplantae; Streptophyta; Magnoliopsida; Poales; Poaceae.
AUGAAAACAUACGAUCGGAUCUGGAAGUGCCUUCGUAUGGAAGUAGAACAUCAGAACAGAAGCAGUAGUACUGGCAUCAUCGAUCUGGUGUGGCAAUACAAGCGAAGGGUACUGGAUGAUAGCUUGUCAUGCUCUCAGAUAUCUCAAUACUUCGCUCGUAGAUCAAUUGAUGGUCUUGGCCUUGAGCAGUUCAACCUAAAUGACUCACAGCUGAAUGCAGUAGCAGACUGUGUCUCGGUAAUGGAGAACCACUCGCCUUCCCUAAAACUCAUAUGGGCCCCCCCUGGUAGAGGUAAAACUAAAACGAUCAGCACUAUCCUGUGGGCAAUGCUCAUCAAGGGACUAAAGACACUUACCUGUGCACCAACCAAUACUGCUGUACUGGAAGUCGCAUCACGAGUUGUCAGGCUUGUUGGAGAGGCUCCAGAUGGUAGCCCCUGCUUUCUGAAUAUCGUCCUGUUUGGAAAUAAAGAGAGGAUGAAAAUAGAUGAUAAUCAUGAUCUUUCCAUGGUAUUCCUUGACUUGCGUGCGGAGCGGUUGUUGCCAUGUUUCGUACCACACACUGGUUGGAGGCAAUGCUUGUCUUCACUGAUAGAUCUUCUUGAGAAUCCUGUGACCAAGUACAAGUUGCACAUUCAGGAUAUUGUUGAAAAGAUGAAGAUGGAAAAGGAGAUGCCCAAAAAGGAUGGGGACAAACCCCUCGUGGGCAAGGACAGGAAUUCUUUGCCCUCACGGUAUCCUUUACGGUCCAAUCCCAACUCCAAAGAUCAUCUUGUUGCACCUCUCUCAGUGUUUCGCAAGAUAACCCAUAACAGGCCUGAGGAUGAGAAAGAAGAGUGCCAUAAUGAAGGAUGGCAUGACUCUGACGCUAUGGUGGAAGCAUUAAGAGCACUGCCAUUCAAGGAUUAUUUGAAAGAUAAUUACAACAAACUUUCUAAGGAUUUGUGCUAUUGCAUCGAGAUACUUUAUAAUGAUCAUCCAAGAAAUUCAGAAACAGGACAGAGCUUUCAGUGUAUGUUGGAAGUGCUUGAAUUGAUAAGAAUUCUCCAUGCUUUGAUAAAUUAUGACAGGGAUACUGAUGAUAUAUGCUCAGAUGAACUUCUUGAGGGCAAGGUAGAAGAGGAAUGUAACCCUGUGUCCUGGCCUCAGCAGUUAAACUCUGUGCGGACUAACAGAUGCAAUAAAUCCAGGUUUAAGCUGGCCAGAUCCCUGUGUGUGCAAGAAUUAAGAUACCUUCGCAAAAACUUAGAGCUUCCAAAUUAUUACAGCACGAGGCAAAUUCAACUGUAUCUGCUGCAGAGAACAAAAUGCAUUCUCUGUACAGUUUCCAGCUCUUUCAGGUUGUAUGGUGUGCCCAUGGACAAUUCUACUUCUGAUACUGGCAAAUUGCUCAAGAAGCCUGAAAAGCCAAAUCUUCUGGACCUGCUGAUUGUUGACGAGGCUGCACAGCUCAAAGAGUGUGAGACUUUAAUUCCCUUGCUGCUGCCUGGCAUAAAGCAGGCUGUUUUUAUCGGAGACGAAUAUCAGUUACCUGCUCUGGUGAAAAGCAAAAUAUCUGACAAUGCUAAAUUCGGGCGAAGUGUUUUUGAGAGGUUAAGUAUGCUGGGAUACAGUAAGCACCUUCUCAAUGUGCAAUACAGGAUGCAUCCGAAAAUAAGCAAGUUUCCACUUGUUACAUUUUACGAUGGCAAGAUAUCUGAUGGUCCUAAUGUCACUAGUGAGAGCUAUGAAAAGAGGUUUUUAGCAAGCAAAAUCUUUGGGUCAUACUCAUUCAUAAAUGUAGAUGGGGGACACGAAACAACUGAGAAGCACGGAUAG